This is a non-coding RNA of Advenella mimigardefordensis DPN7, 111 nucleotides long. NCBI's taxonomy places the organism in Bacteria, Pseudomonadati, Pseudomonadota, Betaproteobacteria, Burkholderiales, Alcaligenaceae. The record is from Rfam.
CGCCUUGAUCCUGAAAGGGUAACGGUGUCGAACCGGAGCGAGGACUCAGCAGAGGUCAUAGUAGUCGUGGUAGCCGAAUCGGGGAGGUUCGGAGUCGAAGCGACGAAGGAC